Molecule: non-coding RNA, 5657 nt
Organism: Lepisosteus oculatus (spotted gar)
Lineage: Eukaryota; Metazoa; Chordata; Actinopteri; Semionotiformes; Lepisosteidae
Source: RefSeq, a predicted model, not a curated record
UUUAAUUAUCCUUUAAUGAGCUGUGCAGUAUAACAGAUUGGAUUAAACAGAUCAAUGGGCAGUGCUCUGGUAUUAUGAAGCACGACUGUCAUGGUAACUUCUUUUCUCUCAGUGCUGUUCGUCCUGGCACCCUGAAACUGCACACUUUCAGAAGUCUGUGCGAAUGAUGGUGGAACAAUCACACUAGACAAAAACAGAAAAACUCAGAUCGUAAAAGUUGUUCAGACAUUAGAAAUUCCUCAGACAUUAGAAAUGUUCCAUUCAGUUGCAAAGCCCCUUUAAGUAAUUUUAGGUUAAUUAGUUUCAAUGGAACAAAAUUUCGAGAGCUCUUUGGAGAGAAUGAUCUGCGCUGAGCGAGGGACCAGGUGAUGAGCUUCACAUUUCAGCUCCACGGCUGAUCGCGCUGGAUGACAGGACUGCUAUGAUCGAGGUCCGCGCUGUGAUACACACGCACACAGGAGACCCUUUCAGUUCUCCAGAAGGUCUGGAGCCCAGCCUGCUGCCCUCAACGCUCCAGGUUUCUCUCAGAUCCCUGUCCAGCCCAGCCUGGGGAGAGUCAUCCCUGCGUCUCUGUCCGCUACUGUUGGAGUCCCGCGCCAAGCUCAGCGUCCUCAGAGCACCAGGCCCAGUCUGCAGCUCCGCCUGACUGUUACAGUAGGUGCGAGUCUUCAUCAAGGUAAGGUCUCACUGAGACACUGGCAUAGAGCCCACUGUCUGCAGGGGGGACUCUUCUUUUCUUUGGGAUAAGAGCUUCCCCUAAUUCUGUGUUAUAAACCUGAUCUGCGCUAUUAGAAUGACAGCCAGAGCAAACUGCCCCUGCACUCCUUCAGACGUCCGCUCUGCACGUCUGCCAUUCUCUCCUGACCUCCAGGGCAGAAUUCAGCCCGUUCAAACUGACCUUUACUCUUUAAAGCACAGUCCGCCGCCCUGUGCUGUUAAUACUGCAGUGCAGGGUUGCAUCACUGUCACACAUGGAGGUCAGGGCCUGUAGACAGGAGCUAUAGAAGCCCAGAAGAUCAGGCAGCCAUGACCAACACAGGAGUAACCUCCUGGAUCAGGGACAUGCUAUUUUAAACUUAAAAAUGAGGAAUCCAUGUGUUGAUUUGGCAAUAACCGUGAGUUCCACAGACAAGUCAGAAUUCCAGCUUUUCUCCAUGACUCCAUGGUCCACUGCUCUUCCAGCACAGUGAGCUCCCACUGCCUUGGAGAUUUGGCAUUGAUUCCCAGGCAAUCCUAAAAUAAAUCCCAAGUAAAAUAAGUUUCAAUUUCUUUUUUGCCAUUUUAGUUACUGCUACAUUUACGCCUUGUAGGUGUUGCAGCUUUAGUUAAAUGCAGGUUUACAUUGGAUUGAGAUAAAGAAAUGGAGUUUAAAUGUGCCGGAGUUUGUGAAGUAUUCUUUUCCUCUCUCCCUGGCCAGGUCAAAGGGUUUACUUCUUUUAAUCCAAAAGAGUCCUGCUCUCCAAGCAGUUAUUUUAAUAUUUCAGUCACCUCUCUGCCAGGGGCAUCCCAUCUCCACCUAUAUGUACAGCUUGGCUGGAGAAAAAGGUCUCUGCAGCACAGCCCCAAAAUUUCACACAAGACCAAGCAUAUCACAGAGCAGGCACAAACGUGUCAGUAUCUGCAAGUUCGGCCUGGAGUAUCUCAAGGGGCAUAACACAGCUCUCACUGGGAAGGCUAGCUGAUUUAAACAAGAUUUGUAUCUCCUACACUGGCGCAUCUGAAGUCUUCUAAUUGUCCCUACACUGCAGCCAUAGAGCAAGAGCCCAGACCCCUGCCAGCCAGCCUUAUUUUGAAAUGACUUGUGAAAUUGUAUCCCCCUAAUUACCAGGGGCUACGUGCGAGAACAAGGAAAUGGCUCCAAACAUUCUGCAUUUAUACACAGUCCUGGUGCCAACGUCACCUCUCAUGCCUUAAUUCACACGUCAGCGGCGCCUCCGUCAGGGGCUGGUGAAGCUCUGCAGAGCUGGAGAAGAGUCUUGACAGGGUUCACACGGUCAGAGGAGCUGGAAAAGUGUGUGCUGGUCAGCCUCCUCUUCACCGAGGCGGUGAUUUCCUUGGAGAGCGAAGCAGCCAGACCCUCUGGCUGGGGUGGUCUCACUGGCAGUGGGGCCGCACUCCUCUCCCUGCUGGCACGUCCUGCACAGCUGACCAGUCUCUCUCUCCGGCCCCCUCCAAAGCCCUGAAGUGCAUCGCGAUCACAAGUUCUGUUCCUGAGUUUCCUGGCUGUGGUCGGACGUUCACACAGGAAAGGAAAUAAUCAGCGAAAUUUUGGAGAGAGGAAGCCUCUGGGGUGGCAGGACCUGACAGCUCUCUGCACAAGAAGGGCUCUUCGUCUUCCUCUUGUGUUGCUGAUUACAUCAGCCCAAACCCACACAGCGUAGGUCUUGAAGGAAUACAAACUCUCAGCUUUAUAAGCCUCUUUAAAACAUCAACAGAUGAAGAGGUUUCGAAAGGGUCAAGCUGGACCUGUGCUGUUUUAGUGAAGUUUCCAUUGAUUUAUUUGGUCUCUAGUUCAGGAUCAUUCACAUUAAUCAAUCAGUCUUACCAGUGUGCAGAGUCUAUUAGGCCUUCACCUUGUAGCUUUUCCUAGUUGCAGACACCCCACUUCAUCCUAUUAAGAGUUCAGUGCUGUAUCUGUGUGUGUAGAGGAGGGACUGGCUGGUGUCAGAGUUUAAUCUGGAUUGACAAUGAUAGUGAAGCAUUGAUUCCAGAUGAUCUGUGGUGAAGUCACCUCUGCUGCCCACAUCCUGUCUCCUGGGGGGGGUGCCACCGAGCACUGUGUCUCCACAUUCAUCCAGUCCCAUACAGCGAGUGCUCCAGCCUUAAAGGUAUUUCCAGGCUGCCCCUGUGGAGCUGUCAGGCCCCGUGAGAGAUUCCAGACGGCACCUCCUAAUGCGGAGAAAUAUUCUCUAAAGAUGUCCUCCUCCUCAAAUUCCUUCCACAGCCACCAGGUUCUGAGGAAAGAGGAGAUGGCGAAGCAGCUCUUCUGCUGUCAGCUGCAAAUGUUGCCAAAAAUGUUUUAAUACAAGAAUUAGAACUACAGCCACAAAAACUGCACUUAAUGAAUCUUAGGAAUUUAAGCCAUGCUGCAGCAAGCCUUAAUAAACACCCAAAGACUUUGUGAAGGGCGCACCCUGCUGGUGGGAAGAACUGUAUGUAGAAACUAACUGUCGGCGAUCGGAUUCUCUCCACUUCACAAGGUGCUGCUGUAGUGAAAGGAAUUCUUAAGAAAACAAGUACUGCUUCCCUUCAAAAGACAGAGCAAGAACGUCUACAAAACACACAUUGAUUUGGCUAUAAAACUAAAUUAUGCAGCAUCGAGACUUAUUCAGCUGUGUCAGGAUAAAUACCUCUUGCGGGUUCUUCUGUUCACCUGGAGUUCGGCUCAGGUUGCUCUCUUAGCAGAGAACUCAACCACUCGAAAUGCCCUCUCCUUUCCUCCAGCAACAGGGGACGCAGGUCUGAGCUUCGCCAUAGAAAAGGUCCUCUCCUGAGUCCACACGAUCCCAGACUGCGACUUGGGGCUUGUCAUCUGAAAAACAUCAUCCCUUCAGCCUCCUUGCUGGUUGUGCAUGGAAUGCCCAAGCUGUAUUCCCAGGGUCGGCUGUGCUGAGGAAUGGGCCUGGGAGAGAGCUGUGAGCGAGAUGGGGCCUCCUCACCUCACCCACCUCUUUGCCUUCUCCGCUGACACUGCAGAGAGCCGUGGAGCACAGCUGACCGGCACACUGACAGCACCUGCUUCCUGCGCUCUGGGCACAGCGCGAGCAGGCACACCGACAGAGCCAGAUUCCCCCCACAGAAUCGACUGGCCUGGGUUGCAGUUUUCCGGGCCCGUGUGCCUGCUGGUGUCUGAGCCCCGCUGUGUGUGAGAGCAGGAGACUGGCCCUCUCAUCUCCUGUGGCUUUUUCUCUGGGAAUCCAGCUCUGGAGCACAAUGAGGAAUUAUCAGAAAUUACACUUCAGUGGUUUUUAAUCAGAACUGUUGGCUGGCCCCGCCCGCACGAUCUCCACGGCGGGAUGCGAGAGGUCGAGACCCUCGCUGUCCCUACAAGGCCUGGGGCAGGACUUCAGGACUCUCUCUUCAAGCAUCUGCUUGUAAAGACUUGGAAAGCACGUUCUGACCAACUUGAUCAAGUUGUUUCAAUUACUGUAGUAAUAAUUUACCAACCUUAAUCACUGCAGGCUAUUGGCAUCUUCUUGUCACUUGAUCUCUGAACUGCUGAACUGACCAACAAGGCAAACUCACUGAUGAGCCUGACAGGACCUGCCUCGCUGUGGCUGCUCAGGACCAGGGAUGUCCCCCCCCCAGACCACAUCCUGCUAGACGGGCAGGGGUGUACAAACGCUGCUCUCACUCUCGGACACCUGCCGUAAAGUAGUCUGACCUUUCAGAGCUGAGCAGCGGUGGGGACACACGGCUUCAUGGUCAGGCCAGUCGCAGUGGGUGUCCAUUCCACCCAUGAUCCAGGUCCUAGCUUUUCGGCAUUGCAGUCAGCCAGCCCUGAGGAGGUUUAGACAGCCUGCAUGGCAAGUCCUUGUUCUAGCUGGCCACUGAUUAUAUAAUGGACCAUCGGCAGCUAUGCCAGUUAGACCAGUAAAGUCCUGCUUGCACGGCAGAGCCAAGCCCAGUCUUACACUCUGGCUCCCUGCCCCUGCUCGGGGAGAGCAAGGCGGAGUCUCGCUGACCGCAGGGUCCCUUCAUUAAUGAGCCGUGCCCACAGCCCUUCAAGCCCAUCGGUUAAUCAGCGCCAGUCGGUGUGUGACAGCAGCAGUGCUCGUGCCCUGGGAGGACUAUAACUUUUAUGGGAAACCCUGUAAAAUCGCAAAGCUGGGUCGUGCUCGAUCCGGCUGGGCACACAGACUGCCGCGGGAACAGCAAGAUUAACGGGAGGGAGACGAGCCCAAAAGCCCACAGCCCUGCUGAUUCUAGAGAGACAGAGCACAACUUGAUGAUAAAAACUGAAGUUAUGGGGUCUCACAGCAGAUCAGCUCAGAGCACAGGUUAGGCCCCGUGGCACAGACGGCGCUGGCUCAGGUCUUGUCGCCAGCCAGCUGUGACCAGAGCUCCCCAAACGGUGACACAUUUCGGCAAAAGAGGGCCGUGUGCGAGAACGGCUCUGCUGUGUGGGUGUGUGAGCAGCCUGUCCUUCUCCAUGUGCAAUAGGAGAGUCAAAGUCAUGAGCCAAGUCUACCAACUCAGUCCAUCCGUUCAUCUCCUAAGUGCUUUAUCCAAUACAGGGUCGUCCUAGGAAACAAUGGAAGGAACCACUGGACGGACGGACGGACGUUUUCCCAGAAGCCAAUUAACCGACCAGUAUGUCUUUGGACCGUCAAAGGAAACUGAAGCAGCUAGAGGAAACUUACGUGCAUAGGAGGAGAACAUGCAAACUCCACCCAGACAGCAUCCCAGCAACUGAACCCAGGGCCCCGGCGCUGAGCGGCAGAAGGGCUCACCACUUCACGGCCAUGCCUCCCUGCACCAAGUCCAGAGUGAACGUGACCUGUGAUGCUGAGUUCAGUGGAAAAUUAACAUAAUGAAAAUGAGGCUUUUUCCUCUGAAAGAUCAAUCUUAUUGAAGUGAAACUAAACAUCUAUGAACUGGCUUCAUCACUCUGUUCUCCUCCCCACUGAGAGCUGAUGUGUGGGGAGCAGACUGGU